AACGCGAAGAACCUUACCUGGACUUGACAUCCCACGAACCUGCUAGAGAUAGCGGGGUGCCCGCAAGGGAACGUGGAGACAGGUGCUGCAUGGCUGUCGUCAGCUCGUGUCGUGAGAUGUUGGGUUAAGUCCCGCAACGAGCGCAACCCUCGCCUUUAGUUGCCAUCAUUCAGUUGGGCACUCUAGAGGGACUGCCGGUGUUAAACCGGAGGAAGGUGGGGAUGACGUCAAGUCCUCAUGGCCUUUAUGUCCAGGGCUACACACGUGCUACAAUGGCUGGUACAAAGCGUCGCCAACUCGCAAGAGGGAGCCAAUCGCAAAAAACCAGUCUCAGUUCGGAUUGGAGUCUGCAACUCGACUCCAUGAAGUCGGAAUCGCUAGUAAUCGAAGAUCAGCACGCUUCGGUGAAUACGUUCCCGGGCCUUGUACACACCGUAGUAC
Molecule: ribosomal RNA, 441 nt
Filed under: uncultured bacterium
Lineage: Bacteria
Description: bacterial SSU rRNA
Rfam family: Bacterial small subunit ribosomal RNA
Source: RNAcentral